Sapajus apella (tufted capuchin) is the source of this 1254-nucleotide long non-coding RNA. RefSeq lists it as uncharacterized. The record is from RefSeq and is a predicted model, not a curated record. Lineage: Eukaryota; Metazoa; Chordata; Mammalia; Primates; Cebidae. The transcript has 2 exons.
GAUCACUCGCCUUCUGGCUUACUCUUGCUAGGAAGUGCAAACCAGAGCUGUUCCUAUUCGGCCAUCUUGGCAGAAGUCCACUCUUGAUUCCUAACACAGAUUAGUUCUGCCAGUUCUAGUUGAAUGGUAUUAUGUAGUCACCAUCAUGUCCCUGGGUCUCACCAUCUUGACGUGUGUGGUCGUAGCCUAUUCACUCCCAUGGCUGUCCAACAUUCCACUGUAUAAUAGCUCACACUUCUCAUCCCUUCACUAUUGAUAGACAAUUGUUUUGUAUCCCGAUCCUACAAAUCGUGCUGCUAUGAAUAAUAUUUUUAUGUAUUUUGGCACACAGAUACAUACAUUUCUAUUGGUUUAUAACUAAGAUUGCAAUUGCUAGGUCAUAGGUGAGUAGAUGCUUGUCUUAGUCUCUCAAAAAACAAGUUUCUAGUAGUAAACAAAUAGUAGAGGAGGGUAAAUCUCUUACUUUAGAAAUUAUUAGAUAAGUGAGGAAGGAAUGAGAGAUUUAGACUAUAAUAACUCUUUUGCAACCCAUCAUGAAUUAACAGAUUUAACCAUUGAAUAGCAAUGACAAGUAAUAACAAUACUAGAAAAAACUAAUGUUUGGUUCUUCCUCUUGAUGGAAGAACAGAAUCCAGUACCAUGAAACAAGUCCAAGUGAAAAAUAAAUCAAGACUGAAUCUCAGCUAACCUCCAUGGCCAAUUACCAAUUUACAGGCAAUACAGGUAAUACAAAUACAUAUUCAACUAUGCCUUGGGGAGCAAUCAGCAAAAUACACACUAUGGGAAUCUCUACCACACAAUAUACAUUUCAAUGAGAAUCUAUAGAAUAAAAGAGAAAAAGCAUAUUUCUAAAGGAAAGUUGAUUCAACCUGGUGUCCAGUGAAGAAAUCCCAACUGCAAAGGAGAGGUGGAUCUCAGGGCUGUGCGUGAUCUGCAAAAGGAAGCACAUGAACCAUCAGGUAGCGCUGCUGCGCUGCUUCUGCUCCCAGGAGGUGGAUGUCCAGGAUGAGCUUUAAGGUGGAGAGAGGGAUGUCAUUGCUCAUCCUCCAGGUUCCAAGUAAAAACCUUUCUGCCCAGUCCAUCUUGUUCUCCUUGAAUCCUCAAGGCCAAUGAGGACCGUCUCCUCACCUCCUUGGACUAGGCUUUUUAACACUGGAAAGUGGAUGCGAUUUCUAGUUUCAGCAUGUUCUGGUUUAUUGCCCUGCCAGUAAAAUAAAAUCAAAAUAUACAUCGAAUAAAUAACAACUAAAAUAA